This 787-nucleotide ribosomal RNA is filed under the name uncultured bacterium. RNAcentral describes it as "bacterial SSU rRNA". It matches the Rfam family "Bacterial small subunit ribosomal RNA", at positions 1 to 796 of the family's 1533-position model. The record is from RNAcentral.
UUAGUUUGAUCCUGGCUCAGGAUGAACGCUGGCGGCGUGCCUAAUGCAUGCAAGUCGAACGGUCUUCCUUGACCUGCAAGGGCCAGGGGAGAUAGUGGCGAAUGGGUGAGUAACGCGUAAGUGACCUGCCCCCCAGCGGGGAAUAACCCUGAGAAAUCGGGUCUAAUACCUCAUAGGAUAGCUUCGAUGGCUCGAAGCUAUCAAAGGGCUGAGCAAUCGGCCCGCUGGGGGAUGGGCUUGCGUCCGAUUAGCUAGUUGGUAGGGUAAAGGCCUACCAAGGCGAGGAUCGGUAGCUGGUCUAAGAGGACGAUCAGCCACACUGGGACUGAGACACGGCCCAGACUCCUACGGGAGGCAGCAGCAAGGAAUAUUGCGCAAUGGGCGAAAGCCUGACGCAGCAACGCCGCGUGGGGGAAGAAGGCCUUCGGGUUGUAAACCCCUUUUCUCAGGGAAGAAGCUCUGACGGUACCUGAGGAAUAAGCCUCGGCAAACUACGUGCCAGCAGCCGCGGUAACACGUAGGAGGCGAGCGUUAUCCGGAUUUACUGGGCGUAAAGAGGGCGCGGGCGGCCUUCUAAGUCUGGGGUGAAAUCUCCUGGCUCAACUGGGAGGGGUCCUCAGAUACUGGAGGGCUUGAGGGCAGCAGAGGGAGGUGGAAUUCCCGGUGUAGUGGUGAAAUGCGUAGAUAUCGGGAGGAACACCAGUGGCGAAGGCGGCCUCCUGGGCUGUACCUGACGCUGAGGCCCGAAAGUGUGGGGAGCAAACAGGAUUAGAUACCCUGGUAGUCC